Molecule: non-coding RNA, 606 nt
Organism: Meleagris gallopavo (turkey)
Lineage: Eukaryota; Metazoa; Chordata; Aves; Galliformes; Phasianidae
Source: the annotation of a RefSeq genome assembly
CAAGCAGGCACCACGACAGGAAUGCUGCUGCUGCUGCCACUCCUGGCCCUGGCUGAAGCCUGGUUGCAUCCAUUCCCCUCCCCGUGGAGGCUCCACUUGCAGCAGCAGCAGGAGGCUGUCCUGCCUACACCUGCGGGCAGCAGGCUGGCAGUGCUUGCUGCCUUUUCUCUCCUUCUGAUCCAUGGACAUGCACAAGUGCUGCUGCAACAGAGUCCACCAUCUGUUACCAAAAUGGGAUCCAAAAGUGUGACUAUUGAGUGCAAAGCCGAGGGCAUAGCUAACUUCCAGGCUGCCUACAUCCACUGGUACCGACAACUGCCUGACAAAGCUCCUGAACGGCUUCUCUAUGUGACAGCAGCAUCACAAGUUUCCUAUGAUUCCGAAUCCUAUAGGAACAAAUAUUCGUCUUAUAAAAGAGAGAAUAACAUCUGCACUCUCUCAGUUGACAGCAUACAGGAUGGAGAUGCAGGUACCUACUACUGUGCCUACUGGGAGUCUCACAGCGGGAGCAGCCUGCAGGCAGCCCUUACAGAAGCUGGCUGCAACCUGAGCGGCACACUUUCAUACAAGCCCAUGGAAACAGAGGAUCUGAAAGAAAAAAGUUAA